UACGAAGGGGGCUAGCGUUAUCCGGAUUUAUUGGGUUUAAAGGGUACGUAGGCGGUGGAGUAAGUCAGUGGUGAAAGCCAACAGCUCAACUGUUGAACUGCCAUUGAUACUGCUUCACUUGAGUGCAUGUUGAGGGUGGGUGGAAUUCCAUGUGUAACGGUGAAAUGCUUAGAUAUAUGGAGGAACACCGAUAACGAAGGUAACUCACUAAACUGUAACUGACGCUGAGGUACGAAAGCGUGGGGAGCAAACGGG
Molecule: ribosomal RNA, 255 nt
Filed under: uncultured bacterium
Lineage: Bacteria
Description: partial 16S ribosomal RNA
Rfam family: Bacterial small subunit ribosomal RNA
Source: RNAcentral